GUAUGCUGUUGUCCAGAGCCCUUUUUCUGUUGUACUACUGGCAAUUAUGAUGAGCAGUGCAAUAUUAAAAGGGCAUUGGCUGGCAGAAACAUGACC
This is a microRNA precursor of Accipiter nisus (Eurasian sparrowhawk), 96 nucleotides long. NCBI's taxonomy places the organism in Eukaryota, Metazoa, Chordata, Aves, Accipitriformes, Accipitridae. The record is from Ensembl.